CUCUGUCCCCCUCCACCCCCCCAAAAAAAACAACACUCAAAAAGUUUUUAGCUUUGAAUUAAAAAAAGGUGGAGGUGGGGCUUAAAUCAAUAACCUAAGUUUUUA
Molecule: long non-coding RNA, 105 nt
Organism: Sapajus apella (tufted capuchin)
Lineage: Eukaryota; Metazoa; Chordata; Mammalia; Primates; Cebidae
Exons: 3
Source: RefSeq, a predicted model, not a curated record